ACGGAGGGUGCGAGCGUUAUUCGGAAUUACUGGGCUUAAAGCGCGCGUAGGCGGUUUUGCAAGUCUGCUGUGAAAUCUCCCGGCUUAACCUGGGUAGUGCCGUUGAUACUGCCGGGCUAGAGUACUGGAGAGGUAGGUGGAAUUUGCGGUGUAGAGGUGAAAUGCGUAGAGAUCGGGAGGAAUACCAGUGGCGAAGGCAGCCCACAAGGCCAUUACUGACGCUGAGGCGCGAAAGUGUGGGGAUCAAACAG
RNAcentral lists this ribosomal RNA (251 nucleotides) under uncultured prokaryote. RNAcentral's name for it is "partial 16S rRNA". It matches the Rfam family "Bacterial small subunit ribosomal RNA", at positions 525 to 775 of the family's 1533-position model. The record is from RNAcentral.